Carlito syrichta (Philippine tarsier) is the source of this 1697-nucleotide RNA transcript. It is a transcript of the gene named mitotic checkpoint protein BUB3 pseudogene, with no coding region annotated. The transcript has a single exon. Lineage: Eukaryota; Metazoa; Chordata; Mammalia; Primates; Tarsiidae. The record is from RefSeq and is a predicted model, not a curated record.
GAGCCCAAGAUGACCGGUUCUAACGAGUUCAAGCUGAACCAGCCGCCCAAAGAUGGCAUCUCCUCGGUCAAGUUCAGCCCCAACACCUCCCAGUUCCUGCUGCUCUCCUCCUGGGACACGUCUGUGCGCCUCUACGAUGUGCCAGCCAACUCCAUGCGGCUCAAGUACCAGCACACCGGACGGUCCUGGACUGCACGUUCUACAUUCCAGCGCAUGCUUGGAGUGGAGGAUUAGAUCAUCAGUUGAAAAUGCAUGAUUUGAACACCGAUCAAGAAAAUCUUGUUGGAAUUCAUGAUGCUCCUAUCAGAUGUGUUGAAUCCUUUCCGGAAGUGAAUGUGAUGGUUACUGGAAGUUGGGAUCAAACAGUUAAAUUGUGGGAUCCCAGAACUCCUUGUAAUGCUGGAACCUUCUCUCAGCUUGAAAAGGCGUACACUCUCUCGGUCUUGGUGUCCGGAGACCGACUGAUAGUGGGAACAGCAGGCCGCAAGGUGUUCGUGUGGGACCUAUGGAACAUGAGCUACUUGCAGCAGCGCAGGGAGUCCAGCCUGUACCAGACUCGCUGCAGUUGAGCUUUUCCUAACAAGCAGGGCUAUGUAUUAAGCUCCAUUGAAGGCCGAGUGGCAGUUGAAUACUUGGAUCCAAGUCCUGAGGUACAGAAGAAGAAGUAUGCCUUCAAAUGUCACAGGCUAAAAGAAAAUAAUAUUGAGCAGAUUUACCCAGUCAAUGCUAUUUCCUUUCACAAUAUCCACGAUACAUUUGCCACAGGUGGUUCUGAUGGAUUUGUAAAUAUUUGGGAUCCAUUUAACGAAAAGCGACUGUGCCAAUUCCAUCGGUACCCCACCAGCAUCGCAUCACUUGCCUUCAGUAAUGAUGGGACUACACUUGCAAUAGCAUCAUCAUAUAUGUAUGAAACGGAUGACACAGAACAUCCUGAAGAUGGUAUCUACAUUCGCCAAGUGACAGAUGCAGAAACAAAACCCAAGUCACCAUGUACUUGACAAGAUUUCAUUUACUUAAGUGCCAUGUUGAUGAUGAUAAAACAAUUUGUACUCCCCAAUGGUGGAUUAUUACUAUUAACAAAGAAACCAGGGAAAAAUAUUAAGUUUACUAUUAUAAGAACCUAAAAAUAAUGGAAAUGAGGUUUUUAUUGAUUUUUUUAAAACAAUAAACACUUAAGUGCUUGAGAUGGUUUGCUGCGUUAAAGGUAUUUGGACAAAGAAAAUUGGAGGGCAGUGUCUGUGCUGUUGAGAAUCAGUUUUGACCUUGAUGAUUUUUGUUUCCACUGUGGAAAUAAAUGUGUGUAAAUAAAUAUAAGUAAUAAACAUCCCUUUGCUUUCUUUCUGGACCUUAAAUGGUAGUGGAAAAGGCUCUGAGCCAUUUGCUUCUUUUGUUGGUUAUAGUUGCUAAUUCUAAAACUGUUUCAGACUGCCUCAUGAGGAGGUUAAUCUACAAUUAAACAAUAUUUCCUCUUGGCCAUCCAUUAUUUUCUGAAGCAGAUGGUUCAUCAUUUCCUGGGCUGUUAAACAAAGCAAGGUUAAGGUUAGACUCUUGGGAAUCAGCUAGUUUUCAAUCUUAUUAGGGUGCAGAAGGAAAACUAAUAAGAAAAUCUCCUAAUAUCAUUUUGUGACUGUAAACAAUUAUUUAUUAGCAACCAGGUGAUCCCAGAAGGGCAAAUUGUUUGAGUCAAUAAUGAACUG